GGAAACAGUGGCUAAGACUGGAUAGGAAGAUAAAAGGCAUCUUUUAUCUUUUUAAAGACCUAGUAAUAGGUAUGCUUUAGGAGGGGCUUGCGCCAUAUUAGUUAGUUGGUAGGGUAAUGGCCUACCAAGACGAUGAUGUGUAGCUGGACUGAGAGGUUGAACAGCCACAUUGGGACUGAGACACGGCCCAAACUCCUACGGGAGGCAGCAGUAGGGAAUUUUCGGCAAUGGAGGAAACUCUGACCGAGCAACGCCGCGUGAAUGACGAAGUACUUCGGUAUGUAAAGUUCUUUUAUCAAGGAAGAAAAGCAAAUGGCGAACCAUUUGUUUGCCGGUACUUGAUGAAUAAGCCCCGGCUAAUUAUGUGCCAGCAGCCGCGGUAAGACAUAAGGGGCAAGUGUUAUCCGGAAUUAUUGGGCGUAAAGGGUGCGUAGGCGGUCUAGUAAGUCAGUGGUGUAAUGGCAACGCUUAACGUUGUCCGGCUAUUGAAACUGCUAAACUUGAGUUAGAUAGAGGCGAGUGGAAUUCCAUGUGUAGCGGUAAAAUGCGUAAAUAUAUGGAGGAACACCAGAGGCGUAGGCGGCUCGCUGGGUCUUAACUGACGCUGAGGCACGAAAGCGUGGGGAGCAAACAGGAUUAGAUACCCUGGUAGUCCACGCCGUAAACGAUGAGUACUAAGUGUCGGGUUAAACCGGUACUGAAGUUAACACAUUAAGUACUCCGCCUGAGUAGUACGUACGCAAGUAUGAAACUUAAAGGAAUUGACGGGACUCCGCACAAGCGGUGGAUCAUGUUGUUUAAUUCGAAGAUACCCGAAAAACCUUACCAGGUCUUGACAUGUUUUUGCAAAAUGAUAGUAAUAUCGUGGAGGUUACCAGAAACACAGGUGGUGCAUGGUUGUCGUCAGCUCGUGUCGUGAGAUGUUAGGUUAAGUCCUAAAACGAGCGAAACCCUUAUCGUUAGUUGCCAGCACGUUAUGGUGGGGACUUUAACGAGACUGCCAAUGAUAAAUUGGAGGAAGGUGAGGAUCACGUCAAAUCAGCAUGCCCCUUAUGACCUGGGCUACAAACGUGAUACAAUGGCUGUUACAAAGGGUAGCUGAAACGCAAGUUCUUGGCCAAUCCCCAAAAACAGUCCCAGUCCGGAUUGAAGUCUGCAACUCGACUUCAUGAAGUUGGAAUCGCUAGUAAUCGCGAAUCAGCAUGUCGCGGUGAAUACGUUCUCGGGGUUUGUACACACCGCCCG
This 1245-nucleotide ribosomal RNA is filed under the name 'Tylophora indica' little leaf yellowing phytoplasma. Its description in RNAcentral is "bacterial SSU rRNA". It matches the Rfam family "Bacterial small subunit ribosomal RNA", at positions 152 to 1396 of the family's 1533-position model. The record is from RNAcentral. Lineage: Bacteria; Bacillati; Mycoplasmatota; Mollicutes; Acholeplasmatales; Acholeplasmataceae.